AUAGCCUUUUAAUUGGAGGCCAGUGAAUGGCAACACGAAAAACCCCUGUAUCACGUAUAUUAAUAAAACUUUAUUUUUGGGUGAAAAAGCCCAAAUAAUUGAGGAAGACAAAAAGACCCCGCGGAGCUUUACUUUGUCAAGCCAAACAAAUCUGCUAGAUCGGUUAUGCUAAUAAGUUUGGUUGGGGCAACCCUGGAACCACUAAAGCUUCCAGUAUUAACCAAGAAGCACAUAAAAAACAUCUUCGGACUAAAAAGAAGUUACCCCGGGGAUAACAGCGUAAUCCAACUUGAGAGUCCGCAU
RNAcentral lists this ribosomal RNA (303 nucleotides) under Margaritifera marrianae. RNAcentral's name for it is "partial 16S ribosomal RNA". It matches the Rfam family "Bacterial large subunit ribosomal RNA", at positions 1968 to 2505 of the family's 2925-position model. Lineage: Eukaryota; Metazoa; Mollusca; Bivalvia; Unionida; Margaritiferidae. The record is from RNAcentral.